RNAcentral lists this unclassified non-coding RNA (300 nucleotides) under uncultured Cladophialophora. RNAcentral's name for it is "sequence contains 5.8S rRNA gene, ITS2". The stretch from base 1 to 79 matches the Rfam family "5.8S ribosomal RNA", at positions 76 to 154 of the family's 154-position model. Lineage: Eukaryota; Fungi; Ascomycota; Eurotiomycetes; Chaetothyriales; Herpotrichiellaceae. The record is from RNAcentral.
AGAGACAGGUGAAUCAUCGAAUCUUUGAACGCACAUUGCGCCCUUUAGUAUUCUGAAGGGCAUGCCUGUUCGAGCGUCAUUAGCACUAAUCAAGCCCGGCUUGCUGUUGGACCUCUUGUCGUUAAAAGACAGGUCCUAAAGAUAAUGACGGCGUCAGUUGGACCCUAGAUGCAACGAGCUUUAACUAGCACGCAAUUUAGUUGGCCCUUUUGACCCGGUCUUUUUAUAACCAUUUUCUUAAGGUUGACCUCGGAUCAGGUAGGAAUACCCGCUGAACUUAAGCAUAUCAAUAAGCGGAGG